This is a long non-coding RNA of Bos grunniens (domestic yak), 3001 nucleotides long. Lineage: Eukaryota; Metazoa; Chordata; Mammalia; Artiodactyla; Bovidae. The record is from Ensembl.
GAAUUUCUCCAGCGAGGGUGGCGCUGGGGUCCGUCAUUCGACUACCACUGAGCGCCCUGCGGGGGUGCAGGGACAGCAGGCACUCAUCUACUGAUGAGGAAACUGUCCCGUAAUCUAUAUCCUCAGACUCUCAGACGUGCCUUCAGCUAGAUGAGUCCUGCAAAAAAAGGUCUCUUCCACCAUCUACCAUGUGGGGAGAGCUGGAGCUCUAACAGCCUAUUCAGGAGAUUUCCCUCAGUCAUGUUUAUUUUGGGUCUACCCUUCCAGAGAGCUGCUGGUUUUCAAGCCUUCUGAAUUUCUACAGCGUGAGCCUGGUUGGACCACCCCGCACGUCCACCAGCGCCAACUCAGUAUUUGGCUUUUCCCUAAAUCGGUACUAGCUCCUCGAUUUCCACCCACUUCUAGCUUCCGUAUGCCAUUGCCUCCUCUUUCACGAUCCUACUUGUGGUUUUGUGUUUUAUUUACUUAUUGGCCACACCACGCAGAAUGUGGGAUCCUAGUUCCCCAAUUAGGGAUCGAACCCUGGGCCCCCAGCAAUGGAAGCUUGGAGUCCUAACCACCGGACUGCCAGGGAAUUCCCAAGGGUUAGUGUUUCAAACGCUCCCUGUGGUUUCAGUGGGUUUCUGGACCAAGUAAGAUGCAUGUGUUCAGUCCUUCAUCUUGACCUAGAAAACCCACAAAAACUUAGUCAUAACACAUUCGGGGUUAAGCAGAGGGGUCAGCCUGGCAGGACACAGCCCAACAUGACCACAAAAGUUUGGAGGACAACUCUGGGGCCAAGACAUGGGGGCAGGGGGAUACUUAUGGUUGCUGUUCCUACCCCUUGGUACUGGGAGGGUGGAGGAACUGGGGGAGGGUGGAGGAACUGGGGUAGUAGGAGCUAACCACAUGGCAAGAAAAGCUCAGUGAAGCAGGAAGGAGGCUGGACAGGGCACCAGGCCUAGCCUGAGGGGUCAGUAGGGCUCAGGGUGGAAACCAGGUUCCAGGAGCUUCUUCUGAGAUGCAACAAAGGUUGCAUGUGACUGAUUCUCUGGGAACCUGUUUGAUAUGCAACAGGCUCCUUUGCUCUUGAGUCCCACGGGCUCCUACCACAGCGCUCUGUAAGCUGUGGGGUUUGCCUGCAUCUCACAGCCACACCAACAGACCCUGAUAUAACCUGCUCAAUGCUCCCUCAUGGAGGCCUGCCUAGGGGAAGACAAGACAGAGCCAGGCCAAGGCAAGGACCAGGGCAGAGAGGUUGGGCCCAAGACGGCUGGACACUGGCUCAGAGGACCUGCCUCUGAGGAGUCUUGGAGAGCCUGACCCUGUGUGACCCCUCUCCCUACCCCCAAGUCUCCUUUCCUUCAAAGACUUGUGAGGUUUCAGGGGCGGCAGCCUGCCGGCAGGUUUAAACCUAAGAAUGUGAGGUCUUGAGGUGAUGGAGCUGGAGCACUCACUGGGCUGGGGUCAACCUUCUGGGUCACCACACGUGGCCACAGCCUCAGAUUCCAGGGUCUGGACCCACAAGGGCUCAUGUCCCAGCAGAGCUGCAGCGUGGGGCAGCCCCACCCCAUCCGGGUCCCCGACUGCUCAGGGGACAGACAGGCUGCACCUCUACCCUGCAGCCCCUCACAGGGACCAGGCCUGAAGCCAGGGCCCUGCAGCUGUGUGACAACACGUGUGCAUCACGCUGAGAUGAAACCCGCUUCAGGCCAGCUAUGUUCAUGUUUCUAAAAAGAAACCUUUAUUAGGGAGUCUCUCUGGACUCUGUCUUAUCAAAACCUCCUGAACCACGACCUGGAGGCUGAGGCCUCGGACCUGCACAGUGCCGUGCAGAGUUUAAAACGUACCUCCAAGCCGCAAUUUCUAGUCUUUUCCCCUCCAAUAAAUGCACCGUUAACUUCCCUGGAGAUGAGACCCCGGGUGGAGAUGCCCCAGGUGGAAGGCCACAAGAAGCCAACCGGGCCCCCAGCCCAUUUGUCUGCCUCAGUGCCCCUACCGGGUGGGCUGUGGCACCCUGGGAAGGGGUCUCAGAAGAGCGCCACACACAGCUUCAGGUGGUGUCAAGUCCUCCACCCCAUGAGGGGAGCACAGGCAGGCACAUGGACACUGGAUCCCACAGAAGCAAGUGGCCAAUCCGCCUCCUCUGAACCUGUUGCUGUGGUCACCUUCCGUCAGGGCAGUGGGGCUGGAGAGGCUCGGAUGGCGCUGACUUUAGGGAGGGCAGGACACAGGAGCUAAGCCGGGACCACAAUCUGAGUGAACAAGCAUAGCCAGGGAACCGGCACUCUGCACCUUGCCCCCCAGCUCCCUGAGGACUCCCCUCCUCCUGAGGGUCGGCCUCGUGCAGGGAGCCAGGCAGGCUUCACCUUCCGAGCUGGCAGGCUAAGUGUGGGGUGAAGGGGCGAGCUCUCUGCGCCUCAGCCUCCUCUGGGGAGUGGAGACCCCAGCCACACUAGCCCCUCAGCGCUGUCAGGAGAAGCCGCCGCAGGCAGAGGCGGAGCUGGCGGGAGCCUGCGGGGAUUGCAGAUUGCCGUCUGCAGCCUCAAUGUUUUCUCUUCCCCGGAGGUGGGAACUGAGGCUCAGAGCCCAGCCACUGGUUCUAAAGCCAACAGCCACCUCCCACAAGGCCUCCUGUCCACGGGCCCGCUCCCAGGAAGCCUGAGCUGAACUGAGGCCUGGGGUGGGGGAUCUCUCGGCAGCGGGGGUGCAGCGGUUCUCUACGAAGCCUCGUUUGGGUGGAAACCUCGGAAAUGUCUCCGGACCACCUCCGCCCUCCAGCACCUCCCGUUCUGGUGGUACCACAGGGAAGACACGCGUGAACCGGCAGCACCCUGCCGGCCUCCCCCGUCCUUUCUGCAGCCAGACCGCUUGAGGCUGGAGGGGUGAGCUGUGGCCGACAAGCGGCAGAUCUCGUCACCAGGUGCAGGAGGAACCCCAGUGCCCGCGCCGAGCUCCUCCAGAGUGGAGGCCUCUGCGGAGGAGGGGGCUUGUGUGCGCGGAAGGGCCCAACCACCCGCCG